This is a non-coding RNA of Termitomyces sp. 'cryptogamus', 96 nucleotides long. Lineage: Eukaryota; Fungi; Basidiomycota; Agaricomycetes; Agaricales; Lyophyllaceae. The record is from the annotation of a GenBank genome assembly.
UCGGGUAUGGUGUAACGGCUAACAUUGCCGCCUUUCAUUUCUUCUAUAGCAUUAAUGUUUGCGCGGCAGCUCGGGGUUCGAUUCCCCGUACCCGAA